GAUGAACGCUGGCGGCGUGCCUAAUACAUGCAAGUCGAGCGAACAGACGAGGAGCUUGCUCCUCUGACGUUAGCGGCGGACGGGUGAGUAACACGUGGAUAACCUACCCAUAAGACUGGGAUAACUUCGGGAAACCGGAGCUAAUACCGGAUAAUAUAUUGAACCGCAUGGUUCAAUAGUGAAAGACGGUUUUGCUGUCACUUAUAGAUGGAUCCGCGCCGCAUUAGCUAGUUGGUAAGGUAACGGCUUACCAAGGCAACGAUGCGUAGCCGACCUGAGAGGGUGAUCGGCCACACUGGAACGGAGACACGGUCCAGACGCCUACGGGAGGCAGCAGUAGGGAAUCUUCCGCAAUGGGCGAAAGCCUGACGGAGCAACGCCGCGUGAGUGAUGAAGGUCUUCGGAUCGUAAAACUCUGUUAUUAGGGAAGAACAAAUGUGUAAGUAACUAUGCACGUCUUGACGGUACCUAAUCAGAAAGCCACGGCUAACUACGUG
This 497-nucleotide ribosomal RNA is filed under the name uncultured bacterium. RNAcentral's name for it is "partial 16S ribosomal RNA". It matches the Rfam family "Bacterial small subunit ribosomal RNA", at positions 28 to 507 of the family's 1533-position model. The record is from RNAcentral.